UUGGAGGGCAAGUCUGGUGCCAGCAGCCGCGGUAAUUCCAGCUCCAAUAGCGUAUAUUAAAGUUGUUGCAGUUAAAAAGCUCGUAGUUGAAAUUCGAAAUUUGUCCUAUGGUCGGGCUUUACGGUCCGUACAGUAGUGGCGAAUUUCUACCUUCUGAAGAACCUUCAUGUCAUUAAUUUGGUGUGUUGGGAAAUCAGGACUGUUACUUUGAAAAAAUUAGAGUGUUUAAAGCAGGCUUAAGUCUGAAUACAUUAGCAUGGAAUAAUGAAAUAGGACGGAUUGGUUCUAUUUUGUUGGUUUCUAGGAUCACCGUAAUGAUUAAUAGGGAUAGUUGGGGGCAUUAGUAUUCAAUUGUCAGAGGUGAAAUUCUUGGAUUUAUUGAAGACUAACUUCUGCGAGAGCAUUUGCCAAGGAUGUUUUCAUUAAUCAAGAACGAAAGUUAGGGGAUCGAAGACGAUCAGAUACCGUCGUAGUCUUAACCAUAAACUAUGCCGACUAGGGAUCGGACGAAGUUAAUUUUUAGAUGACUCGUUCGGCGCCUUACGGGAAAC
RNAcentral lists this ribosomal RNA (551 nucleotides) under uncultured Entrophospora. RNAcentral's name for it is "SSU rRNA". It matches the Rfam family "Eukaryotic small subunit ribosomal RNA", at positions 548 to 1098 of the family's 1831-position model. Lineage: Eukaryota; Fungi; Glomeromycota; Glomeromycetes; Entrophosporales; Entrophosporaceae. The record is from RNAcentral.